This 920-nucleotide ribosomal RNA is filed under the name Chaetomorpha aerea. Its description in RNAcentral is "SSU rRNA". It matches the Rfam family "Eukaryotic small subunit ribosomal RNA", at positions 136 to 1068 of the family's 1831-position model. Lineage: Eukaryota; Viridiplantae; Chlorophyta; Ulvophyceae; Cladophorales; Cladophoraceae. The record is from RNAcentral.
UACUCGGAUAACCGUAGUAACACUAGAGCUAAUACGUGCGUAAAUCCCGACUUUUGGAAGGGACGUAUUUAUUAGAUUUGUGGCCAGCCGGGCUUGCCCGACCAGCGUUGAAUCAUGGUAACUUGACGGAUUGCAUGGCCUCUGUGCCGGCGACGUGUCAUUCAAGUUUCUGCCCCAUCAGGUUUCGACUGUAGUGUAUUGGACUACAGUGCCUAUAACGGGUAGCGGAGGAUUAGGGUUCGAUUCCGGAGAGGGAGCCUGAGAAACGGCUACCACAUCCAAGGAAGGCAGCAGGCGCGCAAAUUACCCAAUCCCAAUUCAGGGAGGUAGUGACAAGAAAUAGCAAUGCGGGGCUACGUGUUCUGCAAUUGAAAUGAGAACAAUCUAAACCACUUAACGAGUAUCAAUUGGAGGGCAAGUCUGGUGCCAGCAGCCGCGGUAAUUCCAGCUCCAAUAGCGUAUAUGUAAGUUGUUGCGAUUAAAAAGCCCGUAGCUGAACCUCGGGCAACCCUGACGGUCCGCUUCAAUGUGAGUACUGUCGUGGGUUGUCUUUCUGGUAAGAUCGUAUCUCGCGUUCACUCGUUGGGAACGGUGCUUAUCAAGGUUACUUUGAGUAAAAUAGAGUGUUCAAAGCAAGCAUGUGCUCUGAAUACACUAGCAUGGGAUAACACGACAUGACCGAUGGUCUAUCUUGUUGGCCUGUAGACCCGUUGGUAAUGGCUAAUAGGGACGGUCGGGGGCAUUCGUAUUUCGCUGUCAGAGGUGAAAUUCUUGGAUUUGCGAAAGACGAACUACUGCGAAAGCAUUUGCCAAGGACGCUUUCAUUAGUCAAGGACGAAAGUCGGGGGAUCGAAGACGAUUAGAUACCGUCGUAGUCUCGACCAUAAACGAUGCCAAUUAGGGAUUGGAGGGCGGAUCCA